AUUAAAUAUCACCUCCUCUUAGUGCAAGGUACUCCAUCUCAUAAAUGCACCUACGAAUUCUGAAGAGGGAAACUGUCUAAUGAACAGUUUGAUGAACCACAAGGCUAAACUUGCUGCUUUGGAGAUUUGAGAUGUGCUUGAGCAUAAUAAAUCCACAUUGGAACUGUUAGGCUUGACUAAGCCAAGUGCCUGUCCUAGGCUGUCUUAAAAGAUCACUUGGUUAUGCUGGAGAAGACAAAAAUUAAACUGGACUGAAACCAUCACCACUAGUGGCUUUUAUUUUAAGGAAAAAAGAUUAGAAACUAAGCCUUGACCUCCAAUGCCAAUUUCAAACAUCCUGCUGGUUUUGAUGGAGCUAGAAUGUCACACCUGCUCAGUCUGGAAUUGCCUUGAAGUCACUCUCAACUUGCAGAUUAGUACAGUGACAAAAGAACAUACAUUUUCUCAGCAAGUCACUUUUGCUGGCAGCCCUCUAGCCCAGUCCAGUCCAGAAGCUAUCUGUAUUUAUCACCAUCUCAGGAAGAGUUGUACUGCUUCCAAAGGAGCUCUUUGCUUUUGUGCAGAAGUGCUGUCACUCCCUCAAUAUCACUUGCUUUUCUAGGAAUUCCUGUGUGAAAUUGCCCUCUGAGACAAGUGAGAAAUGAGGCCAUGUCUCAUUUAUACCUUUGAAGAGGAUGGUUCCUUACUGCCAUGAUACAAUACCUAGUUUUUAAAAGUCUUUCAGUUACUUACAUUUUCAUGCUCAAAAUUGCUGUGGUAGAGGUGAAGAAUCUUGGAAUAAUGACUAUGACACAACUUUUAAAAAUCCCUCAAGUAGUUAAUUACAUUCCUGGAGAGCUGGAGUAAUAACAGGAAUAUCCGAGUUGCAAUAAAAAUGUAAGAAGAUUUUUAGAAGGUCA
RNAcentral lists this long non-coding RNA (899 nucleotides) under Junco hyemalis (dark-eyed junco). RNAcentral describes it as "lncRNA (ENSJHYG00000013678.1)". The record is from RNAcentral. Lineage: Eukaryota; Metazoa; Chordata; Aves; Passeriformes; Passerellidae.